RNAcentral lists this ribosomal RNA (253 nucleotides) under uncultured bacterium. Its description in RNAcentral is "partial 16S ribosomal RNA". It matches the Rfam family "Bacterial small subunit ribosomal RNA", at positions 524 to 776 of the family's 1533-position model. The record is from RNAcentral.
UACGUAGGGCGCAAGCGUUAUCCGGAAUUAUUGGGCGUAAAGAGCUCGUAGGCGGUUUGUCGCGUCUGCUGUGAAAGACCGAGGCUUAACUUCGGUUCUGCAGUGGGUACGGGCAGACUAGAGUGAUGUAGGGGAGACUGGAAUUCCUGGUGUAGCGGUGAAAUGCGCAGAUAUCAGGAGGAACACCGGUGGCGAAGGCGGGUCUCUGGGCAGUAACUGACGCUGAGGAGCGAAAGCAUGGGGAGCGAACAGG